Long non-coding RNA from Sinocyclocheilus rhinocerous, 661 nucleotides. RefSeq lists it as uncharacterized. Lineage: Eukaryota; Metazoa; Chordata; Actinopteri; Cypriniformes; Cyprinidae. The transcript has 3 exons. The record is from RefSeq and is a predicted model, not a curated record.
AAAAAAAGGGGGAAAACCUGAAACAAAAUUAUAAAGGACCCCCAAUCCCCUGGAGCAACCUGGAGAAAAGAGCCUUGCUCAAUGACACACUGGGUGUGACGGCUGCGGAGAUCGAACCACUUCAGUGGUUUAGCCCAUCACACAAAUAAUGUAGUGGUGCUCAUGGAGAGCAGGCAUGUCAUUCAUUCAUUCAUUCAUGGAGAGCAGGCAUGUUUACAGCAGACACAGCAGCAGCCAGAUUGUCCCACAAAUGCUCUCCUACUCACUCUUGCUUCAAGGUUGUGUGGUUCAGGGGGGCGUCACUCAUCCUCUGGCUCAACGAUGUCCCCAUUGAGAAGAGCGAGAUUGUGAAGCACAGCACAGCAUGCAAGAACCUCAGGCACGAAGGCAGGGCUCGCCUCUAAGGGCUUGAAGAAAAUAGAGCACCAGUGUGUUUUCAGCAUGCCAAAAGGGUUCUGUACAGUCUCUUUCUCAUUCAUGAUCAGAUUCCAGCAAUGAGGGACGUGAUGGACAGUAGAGACAGGCAGGCCCGGAUUAAGAACACAUAGGGCCCUGGGGCUAUAGCAAACCCAAGGGCCCUCAUAGUAGCCUAUCUUGGUGCCACAACAUUUUCUACCACAGGAAUAAUUCGUUUUCUUUUUUGUUUUUUGUUUUAAAUCAA